Molecule: ribosomal RNA, 499 nt
Filed under: uncultured bacterium
Lineage: Bacteria
Description: partial 16S ribosomal RNA
Rfam family: Bacterial small subunit ribosomal RNA
Source: RNAcentral
GACGAACGCUGGCGGCGUGCCUAAUACAUGCAAGUCGAGCGGACUGAAUGGGAGCUUGCUCUUGUUCGGUCAGCGGCGGACGGGUGAGUAACACGUGGGCAACCUGCCCGCAAGACCGGGAUAACUCCGGGAAACCGGAGCUAAUACCGGAUAACACCGAAGACCGCAUGGUCUUUGGUUGAAAGGCGGCGCACGCUGCCACUUGCGGAUGGGCCCGCGGCGCAUUAGCUAGUUGGUGAGGUAACGGCUCACCAAGGCGACGAUGCGUCGCCGGCCUGAGAGGGUGGCCGGCCACACUGGGAGUGAGACACGGCCCAGACUCCUAAGGGAGGCAGCAGUAGGGAAGCUUCCGCAAGGGGCGAGAGCCUGACGGAGCGACGCCGCGUGAGCGAAGAAGGCCUUCGGGUCGUAAAGCUCUGUUGUGAGGGACGAAGGAGCGCCGGUUGAAGAAGGCGGCGCGGUGACGGUACCUCACGAGGAAGCCCCGGCUAACUACGUG